UGAGCAAUCUGCCCUUCUCUUCGGAAUAAGCGUGGGAAACCGCGUCUAAUGCCGAAUACGACCUCCUUUCGCAUGAUCGGAGGUGGAAAGCUCCGGCGGAGAAGGAUGAGCUCGCGGCCUAUCAGCUAGUUGGUGUGGGUAAUGGCCCACCAAGGCGACGACGGGUAGCCGGCCUGAGAGGGUGACCGGCCACACUGGGACUGAGACACGGCCCAGACCUCCGUACGGGAGGNAGCG
RNAcentral lists this ribosomal RNA (237 nucleotides) under uncultured bacterium. Its description in RNAcentral is "partial 16S ribosomal RNA". It matches the Rfam family "Bacterial small subunit ribosomal RNA", at positions 118 to 353 of the family's 1533-position model. The record is from RNAcentral.